GCCUGCUUAGUCUAGUGGUGAUGACUCCCUCCGGGCUUCCAAGACGACCAACAAUCGUGGGACCGUGAGUGGCAACCUGAGUUCAAUCUCAGAGCGGGCA
Non-coding RNA from Stipitochalara longipes BDJ, 100 nucleotides. Lineage: Eukaryota; Fungi; Ascomycota; Leotiomycetes; Helotiales; Hamatocanthoscyphaceae. The record is from the annotation of a GenBank genome assembly.